RNAcentral lists this long non-coding RNA (430 nucleotides) under Equus asinus (donkey). Its description in RNAcentral is "lncRNA (ENSEASG00005030257.1)". The record is from RNAcentral. Lineage: Eukaryota; Metazoa; Chordata; Mammalia; Perissodactyla; Equidae.
GGGAGGGUCCCGCUGCCGUCGCCGCCCGGCCGGUGCCGGUGCAAUCAGCCUGGAGAAGGGAUGGGAUUGACCCCGGGUCUCCCCACAGCAAGCCGGCGCUGAGGACCCGGGUGUUGGUGGUCGGUGAUGGUGGCUCCCGCUCUCGUGUAUGAAGGAUGGAAUAUGUCCGCUCUCUGUAUCCAGACAGUGAAGAGUGAUAAGAGUUAUGAGGAUGUCCACCCUUGAUGGAUUAAAUGUGAAACAGAGAAAACUUGCACAACUGAAUCGUGGAGAGAUAACUUCAGUUAAUCAGAAAUCUGCCGUCGUAUGGAGAACUCAUUCACCCAUGACGCUAGGUCCACGGCAAAGUGGGGGGUUCUUUGUCUUGCCAAACCCCGCUGGUCCAGAGGAGGCCAGGCUUCGGCGUCCGGUCGUCUGAGACGGAGCCCGU